This 3044-nucleotide long non-coding RNA is filed under the name Ornithorhynchus anatinus (platypus). Its description in RNAcentral is "lncRNA (ENSOANG00000050380.1)". Lineage: Eukaryota; Metazoa; Chordata; Mammalia; Monotremata; Ornithorhynchidae. The record is from RNAcentral.
GAAGUCGUUAUAUCCCACUUUCUUUUUUGAAUCAAAGGACCCCGGCGGAGGGGAUCAUUCCAGAGCGUAGAACGGCGUCCGGCGCUGAGAACGGCGUUCGAUGAACGACGGAGCUCAGCCUCGAGUGGAUCGCGACCCCAACCCGGCGAGCGCAAGAUCACGGUCCCGCCCCUCCUCCUGGCAGAUGCCCCGGUCUAACUCGACUCCAGCCGAGCUUCCCGGGGCCCGGGGCUGGUGGGAGGUCACAGGCCUGCCCUGGGUGCUGGGUGUGAUUUCAUACUUUCACUGCUGUUGCGGAGAUGAAAGCAAAUGGGGCUUUCCCUCUUGGUAAAUAAUCUUGAAGUUCAGUUUAUUUUGGUUCCAAAGUAGCCCAGAACACUUCACAGACGAUUGUGGCCCAUACAUGCCGGGGGUGGGUGGGUAUUACAGUGAAAUAAGAUACUCUAUCUACGGUUUGUCCCCCUCCAAAAGUCUCUGGCAACAUCCUUUGGGCAUUUUCUACAGGAUAGGGACGCUCUCUCUCUCUCUCACACACCAACACCCACCUGCAAUCACACGCAACCAGUCAAGCAGGCGCGGGUCUUCUAAAAUGAUCUCAAAAAAGUUACCACCUCCAGGAUGCCUUCCCUGAUCGCCCUCCCCACAACUAAUAACUUCCCCUCACCACUACACUGUAAGCUCCUCGAAGGCAGUGAUCACGUCACAGUCGCUUAGACUGUGAGCCCCGAUGUUUUGUUUUCGUUUUUAAUGAUAUGUGUUAAGCGCUUACUAUGUGCCAGGCCCGGUACUAAGCACUAGGGUAGUAAGCUCAGUCUUAAUCCCCAUCAUACGGUUGAGGUAACCGAGGCUCAGAGAGGUUAAGCGACUCGCCCACGGGGAGCGGCGCGGCUUGACGGGAAGAGCACGGGCCUGGGACUCAGAGGACCUGGAUUCUGAUCUCCGGCUCUGCCACCUGUCUGCUGCGUGACCUUGGGUAAGUCAUUUCUCUAUGCCUCUGGACCGUCAUCUGCAAAAAUGGGGAUUCGGUACCUACGGGGUAUUUUUUUUUUAAUGGUAUGUGUUACGCGUUCACUAUUUCCUGCACUCUUUAAGUAGUGUCUCAACUCUUCUGGGAGGGCGUGUGAAGAGAAUGAAUGAGAGAAGCACGGGUUGGGAGAACGUACAGCAACCAGAUACCUGAACAGUUAGUCGUUGUAACCCCCACCUAAACUGUCAGGUCCUUGAGGGCAGGGACUCUGUGAAUCUUUGCCAUCGUACUCUCCCAAGCGCUUAAUACAGUGCUCGGCACCCAGUAAAUGCUCAGUAUAUACCAUUGAUCGACUGUAGGGUGAGCAGAAAUUUGGGUAAACAAAAGCAAGGAGGACAGGGGAGCUAGUUUGAGGACACAGGAAACGAGCAAAAACUCAUCAGCCAGCCUACUAAUUGCUUAAUAAAUACCAUAAUAAUGACGAUGAUAAUAAUGAUGAUGAUAUUUGUUAAGUACUUACUACGUACCGAGCACUGUUCUAAUAAGCACUGGGGUAGAUAGAAGCUAAUCAAGUGGGACACGGUCCCCGUCCCACAUAGGGCUCACGAUCUUAAUCCUCAUUUUUCAGGGAACUGAGGCCCAGAGAAGUGAAGCGACUUGCCUGAGGUCACACAGCGAACGGGUGCUCUGCACUCCGUAAGCGCUCGAUAAAUACGAUUGACUGACUAAGGCCCGGCUGUGGGGCCCAGCUGUCGGCCGGGUCCCGGCGGGACUCGGCUGCCCGGGCCUCCGGCUACCCGGGAGAGGCGGCUUCUCCCUGGGUCGGGAGUAGGGCUCUGGGAAUGCCGGGAACACGAGGCCCGAGGGGUGCGGGUCUGGGCACGCCAGCCAUCGCGCAGAAGAGAUUCCCCCACCGCAAGCAAGCGCCGGUUGACUCUGCCUCCCUGUAAUUACACCUCCAUAAUUCCCCGUGGCCCGUCCACAGCCCCGCCUCCCAGCGGGCCCGGGGGAGCACCGGCUAACGGCCCCUCCCCCUCUCCCGGGGACCGGGGGGCUGCGUCGCUCCCCUCCCGCCUAAUAAUUGAUAAUUAUGGUAUUUGUUAAGCGCUUACUCCGUGCCAGUCGCUAUUCUAAGCGCCGGGGUGGAUACGAGCAAAUCGGGUUGCACGCAGUCCCCUGUCCCACGUGGGGCUCCCAGCCUUAAGCCCCAUUUUCCAGAUGAGGGAACUGAGGCCCAGAGACGUGAAGCGGCUCGCCCAAGGUCCCACAGCAGACCAGCGGAGGAGCCGGGAUUGGGGCGCACGGCCUUCUGACUCCCGGGCCCCGGCUCUAUCCACUAGGCCACGCUGCUUCCCACUAGCCUGGCCUGGUGGGAAGAGCCUGGCACUUGGGUGACGGGAGAAUCAGGCUCAAGUCAGGAAUUAGCAGCCCGGGGGGACCUUCCUGAGCCAGCUUCCUUGCCGUUCGUCUGUUUGUCCUUUCGAGUAUCCGUUAAAGCGCUUACUAUGUGCCGGGCUCUGUUCUCGGCGCUGGGGUAGAUGAGAGCUCAUCGGGUUGGACACAGCCCCCGUCCCUCCCGGGGCUCACGGCCUCCAUCCCCAUUUGACAGAUGAAGUAACCGAGGCGCUUGAAGUGAAGCGACUUGCCCGAGGUCACACAGCAGGUACGUGGCAGAGCCGGCAUCAGAACCCAGGUCUUUUUGACCCCUAGGCCUGUGCUCUAACCUCUCGACGUGCUGCCGCUUUGCCUGAAAGCCCCCCGGUCCGGAUUUUUGCCCGAUCCAGAACUGUUUCCUACGCCUUUAGGUAGCAAAACAUCGACUCUUUUAGCUGAACAAUCUUCCGAGUCGAGGUUAACUUCAUACCCAAAAGGGACCCGGAGAAACGAUGGUUUUAGGACAGAAGCGUUGUUUUCUUUUUUUUUCCUUUCAUAUUCCCCCUCGAGUGAUUUUUCUGUUCUAACUCUGUCACAAUGGUGCCGCAGCUGCUGCCAAGAUGGUUUCAAAGAAUCUUUCUGGGAGCCCAGCAAUAAAACAAAACCCAACAAACUGUACUUUGUUCUCGCUCCGGAGGAGCCA